RNAcentral lists this ribosomal RNA (765 nucleotides) under uncultured Streptococcus sp. RNAcentral's name for it is "bacterial SSU rRNA". It matches the Rfam family "Bacterial small subunit ribosomal RNA", at positions 28 to 776 of the family's 1533-position model. The record is from RNAcentral. Lineage: Bacteria; Bacillati; Bacillota; Bacilli; Lactobacillales; Streptococcaceae.
GACGAACGCUGGCGGCGUGCCUAAUACAUGCAAGUAGAACGCUGAAGAGAGGAGCUUGCUCUUCUUGAAUGAGUUGCGAACGGGUGAGUAACGCGUAGGUAACCUGCCUUGUAGCGGGGGAUAACUAUUGGAAACGAUAGCUAAUACCGCAUAACAAUAGGUGACACAUGUCAUUUAUUUGAAAGGGGCAAUUGCUCCACUACAAGAUGGACCUGCGUUGUAUUAGCUAGUAGGUGAGGUAACGGCUCACCUAGGCGACGAUACAUAGCCGACCUGAGAGGGUGAUCGGCCACACUGGGACUGAGACACGGCCCAGACUCCUACGGGAGGCAGCAGUAGGGAAUCUUCGGCAAUGGGGGCAACCCUGACCGAGCAACGCCGCGUGAGUGAAGAAGGUUUUCGGAUCGUAAAGCUCUGUUGUAAGUCAAGAACGAGUGUGAGAGUGGAAAGUUCACACUGUGACGGUAGCUUACCAGAAAGGGACGGCUAACUACGUGCCAGCAGCCGCGGUAAUACGUAGGUCCCGAGCGUUGUCCGGAUUUAUUGGGCGUAAAGCGAGCGCAGGCGGUUUGAUAAGUCUGAAGUUAAAGGCUGUGGCUCAACCAUAGUUCGCUUUGGAAACUGUCAAACUUGAGUGCAGAAGGGGAGAGUGGAAUUCCAUGUGUAGCGGUGAAAUGCGUAGAUAUAUGGAGGAACACCGGUGGCGAAAGCGGCUCUCUGGUCUGUAACUGACGCUGAGGCUCGAAAGCGUGGGGAGCGAACAGG